AAAUAAUGACAAGAAUUCAAUGUGCGCAUUAACAAAGGAAACAAACUAAAAUGAAAACUGUAUUGAUAUUUGCAUAAAAAUGUAAAAAACAAAAACAAAACCAAGAGAACACAAAAAAGCUGCAGGGGAGCAUCAGCGUCAGCAUCAGUUCCCGCCACGACAUACAUAUGUCUAGAUCAUUAUAGCGGAAUCAGCCUCCAAUCCAAUUCCAAACCCGAGCCCAACCCCCCAUACAGCAUCAAGCACAUUUAUGGCUAUAUACGUACAUACAUAAUUGCAUUUGCGAGCGGGAUAAAAACGAGCAGAGAAAAAAAUAUGUGAAGUGGAGAAUUAUGAAACGUGUGCAAGCAAAAGCCCAUAAUUAUGUUAAGCGCCUAUCAAAAGCCUAUCCAAUUCAAUCAAAACUGAACAAAGCCCCCGCACACACUCAAAUCCUUACAUGCUCACAGCUAUGAACAAACACCAUCACACCAUCACACACCCACGCACACUCACGAACAGAGAAUGAGCAAACACAUACAUAGAAGCAAACACGUUAAUAUAUGCAUAGAACAAGGCGCUGCAGCUUGAAAGCGAAAUGCAGUCGAGCCAGAGAGAAAUAAUCAAAUAAAAUGGAAAAAUGUUAAUCAAAAAAACGAAAAAU
This 643-nucleotide long non-coding RNA is filed under the name Drosophila guanche. The record is from RNAcentral. Lineage: Eukaryota; Metazoa; Arthropoda; Insecta; Diptera; Drosophilidae.